UACGGAGGAUGCGAGCGUUAUCCGGAUUUAUUGGGUUUAAAGGGUGCGUAGGCGGGCUUUUAAGUCAGCGGUAAAAAUUCGGGGCUCAACCCCGUCCGGCCGUUGAAACUGGGGGUCUUGAGUGGGCGAGAAGAAGGCGGAAUGCGUGGUGUAGCGGUGAAAUGCAUAGAUAUCACGCAGAGCCCCGAUUGCGAAGGCAGCCUUCCGGCGCCCUACUGACGCUGAGGCACGAAAGUGCGGGUAUCGAACAGG
RNAcentral lists this ribosomal RNA (252 nucleotides) under uncultured bacterium. RNAcentral describes it as "partial 16S ribosomal RNA". It matches the Rfam family "Bacterial small subunit ribosomal RNA", at positions 524 to 776 of the family's 1533-position model. The record is from RNAcentral.